Molecule: ribosomal RNA, 482 nt
Filed under: uncultured bacterium
Lineage: Bacteria
Description: bacterial SSU rRNA
Rfam family: Bacterial small subunit ribosomal RNA
Source: RNAcentral
GAUCAUGGCUCAGGAUGAACGCUGGCGGCGUGCUUAACACAUGCAAGUCGAACGAAGACAUCUGAGUGCUUGCACUUGGAUGGACUGAGUGGCGGACGGGUGAGUAACGCGUGGGUAACCUGCCUUAUACAGGGGGAUAACAGUUGGAAACGACUGCUAAUACCGCAUAAGCGCACGGUAUCGCAUGAUACAGUGUGAAAAACUCCGGUGGUAUAAGAUGGACCCGCGUCUGAUUAGCUUGUUGGUGAGGUAACGGCCCACCAAGGCGACGAUCAGUAGCCGGCCUGAGAGGGUGAACGGCCACAUUGGGACUGAGACACGGCCCAAACUCCUACGGGAGGCAGCAGUGGGGAAUAUUGCACAAUGGGGGAAACCCUGAUGCAGCGACGCCGCGUGAGUGAUGAAGUAUUUCGGUAUGUAAAACUCUAUCAGCAGGGAAGAUAAUGACGGUACCUGACUAAGAAGCACCGGCUAAAUACGUG